Non-coding RNA from Acanthosepion pharaonis, 102 nucleotides. The record is from the annotation of a GenBank genome assembly. NCBI's taxonomy places the organism in Eukaryota, Metazoa, Mollusca, Cephalopoda, Sepiida, Sepiidae.
CCAAAUUAUGCUGAAAUAUCGGUUCCCGUAAGAUCACUGAAGUUAAGCAACAUCGAGCUUGGUCAGUACCGAGGUGGGUGACUUCUAGGGAAUACCAGGUGU